UACGAGUGCUUCAAGCGUUAUCCGGAAUCAUUGGGCGUAAAGGGCUCGUAGGCGGCCAACUAAGUCAGACGUGAAAUCCCCAGGCUCAACCUGGGAACUGCGUCUGAUACUGGAUGGCUUGAAUCCGGGAGAGGGAUGCAGAAUUCCAGGUGUAGCGGUGAAAUGCGUAGAUAUCUGGAGGAAUACCGGUGGCGAAGGCGGUAUCCUGGACCGGCAUUGACGCUGAGGAGCGAAAGCCAGGGGAGCAAACGGG
This 253-nucleotide ribosomal RNA is filed under the name uncultured bacterium. RNAcentral's name for it is "partial 16S ribosomal RNA". It matches the Rfam family "Bacterial small subunit ribosomal RNA", at positions 524 to 776 of the family's 1533-position model. The record is from RNAcentral.